UGCAAAGGGUCUGUAGGGACUUAGCUGU
RNAcentral lists this non-coding RNA (28 nucleotides) under Mus musculus (house mouse). Lineage: Eukaryota; Metazoa; Chordata; Mammalia; Rodentia; Muridae. The record is from RNAcentral.